Molecule: ribosomal RNA, 488 nt
Filed under: uncultured bacterium
Lineage: Bacteria
Description: partial 16S ribosomal RNA
Rfam family: Bacterial small subunit ribosomal RNA
Source: RNAcentral
GACGAACGCUGGCGGCGUGCUUAACACAUGCAAGUCGAACGGAAAGGCCCUGCUUUUGUGGGUUUCUCGAGUGGCGAACGGGUGAGUAACACGUGAGUAACCUGCCCUUGACUUUGUGAUAACUUCAGGAAACUGGGGCUAAUACCGGAUAGGAGCUCCUGCUGCAUGGUGGGGGUUGGAAAGUUUCGGCUUUUGGGGAUGGACUCGCGGCGUAUGAGCUAGUUUGUAUGGUAGUGGCUUACCAAGGCUUUGACGGGUAGCCGGCCUGAGAGGGUGACCGGCCACGCUGGAACUGAGACACGGUCCAGACUCCUACGGGAGGCAGCAGUAGGGAAUCUGCCGCAAGGGGCGAAAGCCUGACGGAGCAACGCCGCGUGAGUGAUGAAGGUCUUCGGAUCGUAAAACGCUGUUAUUAGGGAAGAACAAAUGUGUAAGUAACUAUGCACGUCUUGACGGUACCUAAUCAGAAAGCCACGGCUAACUACGUG